RNAcentral lists this ribosomal RNA (849 nucleotides) under uncultured bacterium. Its description in RNAcentral is "bacterial SSU rRNA". It matches the Rfam family "Bacterial small subunit ribosomal RNA", at positions 8 to 867 of the family's 1533-position model. The record is from RNAcentral.
AGAGUUUGAUCAUGGCUCAGGACGAACGCUGGCGGCGUGCUUAACACAUGCAAGUCGAACGAUGAAGCUGGAGCUUGCUCCAGUGGAUUAGUGGCGAACGGGUGAGUAACACGUGAGCAAUCUGCCCUUGACUCUGGGAUAACUGCGGGAAACUGUAGCUAAUACCGGAUACGACACCUUGGGGUAUCCCGAGGUGUGGAAAGAAUUUCGGUCAAGGAUGAGCUCGCGGCCUAUCAGCUUGUUGGUGAGGUAAAAGCUCACCAAGGCGACGACGGGUAGCCGGCCUGAGAGGGUGACCGGCCACACUGGAACUGAGAUACGGUCCAGACUCCUACGGGAGGCAGCAGUGGGGAAUAUUGCACAAUGGGCGAAAGCCUGAUGCAGCAACGCCGCGUGAGGGAUGAAGGCCUUCGGGUUGUAAACCUCUUUUAUCAGGGAAGAAGCGAAAGUGACGGUACCUGAAGAAAAAGCACCGGCUAACUACGUGCCAGCAGCCGCGGUAAUACGUAGGGUGCAAGCGUUGUCCGGAAUUAUUGGGCGUAAAGAGCUCGUAGGCGGUUUGUCGCGUCUGCUGUGAAAAUCCAAGGCUCAACCUUGGACCUGCAGUGGGUACGGGCAGACUAGAGUGCGGUAGGGGGAGAUGGGAAUUCCUGGUGUAGCGGUGGAAUGCGCAGAUAUCACGAGGAACACCAAUGGCGAAGCACAUCUCUGGGCCGUAACUGACGCUGAGGAGCGAAAGCGUGGGGAGCGAACAGGAUUAGAUACCCUGGUAGUCCACGCCGUAAACGGUGGGUGCUAGUUGUGGGCCACAUUCCACGUGGUCCGUGACGAAGUUAACACAUUAAGCAC